This 490-nucleotide ribosomal RNA is filed under the name uncultured bacterium. RNAcentral's name for it is "partial 16S ribosomal RNA". It matches the Rfam family "Bacterial small subunit ribosomal RNA", at positions 30 to 507 of the family's 1533-position model. The record is from RNAcentral.
AUUGAACGCUGGCGGCAGGCCUAACACAUGCAAGUCGAACGGUAACAGGAAGAAGCUUGCUUCUUUGCUGACGAGUGGCGGACGGGUGAGUAAUGUCUGGGAAACUGCCUGAUGGAGGGGGAUAACUACUGGAAACGGUAGCUAAUACCGCAUAAUGUCGCAAGACCAAAGAGGGGGACCUUCGGGCCUCUUGCCAUCGGAUGUGCCCAGAUGGGAUUAGCUAGUAGGUGGGGUAACGGCUCACCUAGGCGACGAUCCCUAGCUGGUCUGAGAGGAUGACCAGCCACACUGGAACUGAGACACGGUCCAGACUCCUACGGGAGGCAGCAGUGGGGAAUAUUGCACAAUGGGCGCAAGCCUGAUGCAGCUAUGCCGCGUGUAUGAAGAAGGCCUUCGGGUUGUAAAGUACUUUCAGCGGGGAGGAAGGGAGUAAAGUUAAUACCUUUGCUCAUUGACGUUGCCCGCAGAAGAAGCACCGGCUAACUCCGUG